GCCAGAGAGUGGUGGGGCCACAUAGUAUUUGUUACAGAGAGUGGAGUGGUGUCCAUUGUCGUGACUUGUUGGAGAGUUCGAGCCGGACGGCUGAAGCUCGGUUGGGAUGUCUGGUGGAGCGGAAUAACUCUCUGUCUCAGUAAUCUAAGAGAAGCUUAGAUAUUUUCGAGGUUGCUGACGGGUUAACUAUUGUUGGGUGCCUUAGGCAUUGAUGCUGCAGACGGAAGUCAUCUACCGUAGAAGUUCGGAUGGAAACUUUCUAUUGGAGAAAUCUUGCUAGAGUCUGAUUGCUAGAGAAGUCCGUUUGAAAUUUUUCUGAUGUAGAAGCUUGUCUGAAGACUGUCUGCUGGAGAGGUCCGGUUGCAUGAGAAAUCUGAUAGAAGGUCGACCGAUAGCAGAAUUCGGAAGGUGCUAUAGAAGGUUGACCGAUAGAAGAGUCCGAAAGGCAUUAUGGAAGUUCAUCCGCUAGAGGAGUCUGGAGGACACUGUGGAAGGUCGACCGUUGGAGGGGUCCGGAGGGAAUUUGUCCUUUGGAGGGGUCUGGUUGGCACUGUUGAAGUCCGAUUGGCGCUGUUGAAGGUUGAUGGUUGGAGAGGUAUAGAAGACACCAAAGACAGUCAGUCACUGUAGAAAUCUGGAUGCUGGAGCCCGUCCGUUGUAGAAGUUUGUCUGGAAUCCAUCCGCUAUAGAAGUUCGAAUGGAGUUUGAUUCUUAUAGGAGUCCAAAAGGAGGUCGCUUACUAUAGAAGCUCGGAUGGAGAUCAAUUGCCGUGAA
RNAcentral lists this long non-coding RNA (774 nucleotides) under Elaeis guineensis (African oil palm). RNAcentral describes it as "long non-coding RNA (EGUI_LNC077538)". The record is from RNAcentral. Lineage: Eukaryota; Viridiplantae; Streptophyta; Magnoliopsida; Arecales; Arecaceae.